This 169-nucleotide ribosomal RNA is filed under the name uncultured bacterium. RNAcentral describes it as "partial 16S ribosomal RNA". It matches the Rfam family "Bacterial small subunit ribosomal RNA", at positions 338 to 524 of the family's 1533-position model. The record is from RNAcentral.
CCUACGGGAGGCAGCAGUCGGGAAUAUUGGACAAUGGGCGCAAGCCUGAUCCAGCAAUACCGCGUGUGUGAAGAAGGCCUGCGGGUUGUAAAGCACUUUCAGUGGGGAAGAUAAUGACGUUACCCACAGAAGAAGCACCGGCUAACUCCGUGCCAGCAGCCGCGGUAAU